UACGAGGGGUGCAAACGUUAUUCGGAUUUACUGGGUGUAAAGGGUGUGUAGACGGUUUGUUAAGUUUGUUGUUAAAUCUUCCGGCCUAACUGGAAACUUGCGAUGAAAACUGGCGAACUUGAGGGUGAAAGAGAGAAGUGGAAUUCUCGGAGUAGCGGUAAAAUGCGUAGAUCUCGAGAGGAACACCGAUGGCGAAAGCAGCUUCUUGGUUCACAUCUGACGUUGAAACACGAAAGCGUGGGGAGCAAACAGG
This 253-nucleotide ribosomal RNA is filed under the name uncultured bacterium. RNAcentral describes it as "partial 16S ribosomal RNA". It matches the Rfam family "Bacterial small subunit ribosomal RNA", at positions 524 to 776 of the family's 1533-position model. The record is from RNAcentral.